Molecule: long non-coding RNA, 1202 nt
Organism: Coregonus clupeaformis (lake whitefish)
Lineage: Eukaryota; Metazoa; Chordata; Actinopteri; Salmoniformes; Salmonidae
Exons: 7
Source: RefSeq, a predicted model, not a curated record
GCCCAUCAAUCACCCUCCGUUCACUGAGAUAGUAAGCUAAAGUUAGCUAGUGAGUCACAGAAAUGUACGUUCAGCCUGUUAAUUACUUCAGUCCAAUUGGACUUGUCUUACUUAAUCAGCAUGGCUUAACAUACUUUCUUUCUUUUUUAACCUCGAUAUUCUUGCUGGAUAGAGACUUUGAUAGCUAACAUGCUGGCGCUGCUAGCUAGCUAAUGCUAACGACGCUAGCUAACCGCUAUGUGGAUGCCUCCAUCUAGUUCCCAAGAGCAGCAGACCGGCCCUCCAUUCCCAAACCUGAAGCCCCCUGUCCCAAGCAGGAAAGACCAGGAAAAAGUGUUGGCUUAAGUUACAACUUCCUAUUGAGGAAAUCUGCUGCCAAGGCAGCAGCUUCUCUUCCUCGGAUCUGCCAACCAGGCUCGGUGGGUGACAGGUAACCGUGUUUCCACUAAGCUGUUCCAGGCCUGGAGUGGCACGCUGAAGCUUCCAGAGGCUAGUAGUGUGAGGUGGUGCAGAUCUGACACCCCUAUUAGCUCAACCACAGCCCUCACAGCUGCAUUCGUCUGCCCCUGCUACACCGGCUGCGACAGGUGAUACAGAUCUGCGACCCCCAGCAGUUCAGCUGCAGUCACAGCAGUCCUCUGCUGUGGUAUUUAAUUUACCGGCUGCACCAGUUCCUACUACACUGGCCAUGAAGGGAGACACUUUUGAGGAUUCCCAGUUGGAUACAGAUCUGCCAUGCACUCCAGCACUGCCUGACAUCCUCACCCAGAAGUGCAUACACUGGGCCUAUCAAGACUGACAAAGCAGAGAUGGGUGGCUGACACAGAAAAAUAAAACACAACAUGCACACACUCUCUCUCUCUGUCACACACAUUAUCCCCAGUGUAAAUAAGUUGUAAUUACUUGUUUAUUUUAUGUAUACUCCAUUUUAUUUGAGGAUUGGAGAUAUCUAUGCCUACAUAUCCAUUAUCAAUAUCUACAUAAUUACUCUAAAUAUCUAUCAAAUUGUGAUUGAUAAUAUUGUAAAAGACUUUUGCUUAAUGUGUACAGUUUGAGGAAAUUCUGUGUGCUUUUUUCUUGAGUUGAAAAACAUGCCUCCCUCUCACACACACAUUAGACCCAAUGUAAACACAUUGUUUCUUUUAUGGAUGUUCCAUGUUAAUUGAGGAUUGUGUGCAAUAAAGUACAUUCACAGUUAAAGC